Molecule: long non-coding RNA, 319 nt
Filed under: Helianthus annuus (common sunflower)
Lineage: Eukaryota; Viridiplantae; Streptophyta; Magnoliopsida; Asterales; Asteraceae
Description: hypothetical non coding rna
Source: RNAcentral
GGUAUCAGAGCCCUAGGCUCAUACCUGGUUCGUAGUACAAAAUAGAGGGCCGUUUUGAGAGUCGGAUUCGAGUAAGAGAGGCAGCCAUUGGCUGCGGGGCUGAAGAAGAUGCAGAAGUGGAGAGCAGUGGUUUUCUUUUGGGCGGUGAUUACGGUAACAAAGCAUCUGAAUUGAUUUCCGCAACCGCCUGGAAGAAAAAUUAAAUAAAUAUUGUGGAAUUGGAAAGAAGAACAAAAUGGCUUUUGGUCUCUUUUACGAUUUGAAAAAGGAAAGCAAGCAAGCUAGUACCUAGUAAUUAAUUAAAAAGGUAAAGCACGUA